AAGGAUAUUCAUGGACAUUACAGACACAUGGUAAAAGGCAGCAGCCCCGUCUAUGUUACGGCACCUGCGACACAUGAUAACAUUUAUCAUUCUGAGUCUUCAUUGUCACCUUACCUGUGAGCCCGGAGCCUUUCUGUCAUCAUCUCAGGAGAGACCCUUCUGGCGACACUCGGCAAACAGGCCAGAGGGUGAGGAAGCUGAAGAGUCCAGAGCCUGAAGACAGCACUGCUGAACUGCAAGAGGAUAACUAUGAGGCCAUCUAAAGUGUCAGGAACACAAGAAUGAGCAGCACCAGAGCCAGUGGAACUUAGAGGUUCAUCUAGAGAAAAAAAAAACCAUGAGCCAAAAAGCCAGUCUGAGAACAAGACGAUCAUUGAUGGUGAUGACAGAGAUGAGUUGAGACAGGGCGACAUGACUGACACACGAGGUGGCAUCAGAUAAUCAGAAGUCUCUGAGAUGGAACUGGAGAGACAAAAGAACAAGGUCUGAAAACUGAGGGUAGAGCAACUCAAGCUAAGAAAACAAAGCAACAAAUAAGAGAAAAAGCAAACACCCUAAGAUACGAAUGAAAAUAACGUGGUCCAUGAUGUUUUUCCAAGGAGCAGUUCAGCCUCUAUCACCAGGACAACAGCUUGUGAACCUAUCCUCACCUGGAGAGUUAAUCUGGGGUCUGGUGUCAUGGAUGUGACACUUGGCUCUAUUCCUGGACACAUGACUUGCUUAGGAACAGAGAAAGAUGAUCAGAAGAAUGAGAUCAAGGAGCUCCAGCAAGACCAGUGCACAGGGGUGGUCUUGCUUUCUUUGCUGUGUAUCUACAGAGCCUCGGGAUAUCCCAAAACGCAAUGAAAGGGCGUCAUGGUGUAAAGAUCACCAAGGGUUAGAAUGACACUCUCACUGGGUGUGGAGACAAACUUAUAAACACUGGACAGUACAUUACAAAUGGAAAGCUUGUGAACUCCUGCACCACUCUCUAACCCAACCAGGCAAAUGAUCUAACAAGGCAGCACCGAAGCCC
RNAcentral lists this long non-coding RNA (1015 nucleotides) under Mus pahari (shrew mouse). RNAcentral describes it as "lncRNA (MGP_PahariEiJ_G0005615.1)". The record is from RNAcentral. Lineage: Eukaryota; Metazoa; Chordata; Mammalia; Rodentia; Muridae.